This 433-nucleotide ribosomal RNA is filed under the name uncultured bacterium. Its description in RNAcentral is "partial 16S ribosomal RNA". It matches the Rfam family "Bacterial small subunit ribosomal RNA", at positions 29 to 507 of the family's 1533-position model. The record is from RNAcentral.
AACGAACGCUGGCGGCAUGCCUAACACAUGCAAGUCGAACGAGACCUUCGUGUCUAGUGGCGCACGGGUGCGUAACGCGUGGGAACCUGCCCUUAGGUUCGGAAUAACUCCCCGACAGGGGUGCUAAUACCGGAUAAUGUCUUCGGACCAAAGAUUUAUCGCCUUUGGAUGGGCCCGCGUUGGAUUAGCUAGUUGGUAUGGUAAAAGCCUACCAAGGCGACGAUCCAUAGCUGGUCUGAGAGGCUGAUCAGCCACACUGGGACUGAGACACGGCCCAGACUCCUACGGGAGGCAGCAGUGGGGAAUAUUGGACAAUGGGCGAAAGCCUGAUCCAGCAAUGCCGCGUGAGUGAUGAAGGCCUUAGGGUUGUAAAGCUCUUUUACCCGGGAUGAUAAUGACAGUACCGGGAGAAUAAGCUCCGGCUAACUCCGUG